Long non-coding RNA from Gadus morhua (Atlantic cod), 791 nucleotides. RefSeq lists it as uncharacterized. The record is from RefSeq and is a predicted model, not a curated record. The transcript is spliced from 2 exons. NCBI's taxonomy places the organism in Eukaryota, Metazoa, Chordata, Actinopteri, Gadiformes, Gadidae.
CACGUAAAUCAUUUAAUUUGUUUUGUCUUUGGUUGUAUUAAAACUUCACAAGCCAAUCCGAAUAAAGUCUCAACGUGUAAAGGGCGGGACUAGUGCAGCAGGUUAGCGUGGGGAGUAGUGAGCACAUGUAGAGAAAGAAACCUGACCGGACUGAGAGCUAAGAGGAGGCAUCGUAGUGUGGGAAGCAGUUAAGUUUUAUCGUGAGGUCGACUACUCGUGGUCCUGAUUUAAACUUCUUUGUGACCUGCAAAAAGGAGCUGGACGUUGGAGAGAGGGGUUUCCAGCAGAUGGCCCUGCUGUUUUCUGUGUUUUCUUCCUUGUGACUUCGCCACCGCCAUUGCCCACGUGUGUGUUUGGAUUGCCACCGCCAUUGCCAUUAUCUUCGUGAGAAUAUCAUCCCCCAAUCCCUUUCUGCCCCUACUAAUUACACCCUGGAUUCGUGAGUACUGAUUUACACAUUGCACGUGCUUUUAUUUUGAGCUCAAGCUGAGUGAAGCGGCCAGUACAGUUUUUAGGCCCCACCGCACACAAGCUUCAACUAACAGGCCUGCAACGGGUUAACCUAAUUUAAAGUGUGUUGUUAAUUUGAUUGUGUGUGGUACAUUGAGUUUGCAUUGUUGUAAAUUGGAGAAUCCCGUGCAUCUGAUUUUAUUUAUUUUAUUUGUUUAUUUGUUUUCUUUUCCUAAAAUACAUUCGACUAGUAUUUCAUUUUGUGAAUAAAUAUGUGAUUGAAUACUUUUACAUUUAAAAUACAGUUGUGGUGGUCAUUUAUUAAAAUUAUCCAACAGUAA